Molecule: ribosomal RNA, 253 nt
Filed under: uncultured bacterium
Lineage: Bacteria
Description: partial 16S ribosomal RNA
Rfam family: Bacterial small subunit ribosomal RNA
Source: RNAcentral
UACGUAGGGGGCAAGCGUUGUCCGGAAUUAUUGGGCGUAAAGAGCGCGUAGGCGGUCCGAUAAGUCGGCUGUGAAAGUCAAGGGCUCAACCCUUGAAAGCCGGCCGAUACUGUCGGACUAGAGUCCGGAAGAGGCAAGUGGAAUUCCCGGUGUAGCGGUGAAAUGCGUAGAGAUGUGGAGGAACACCAGUGGCGAAGGCGACUUUCUGGUCUGUAACUGACGCUGAGGCGCGAAAGCGUGGGGAGCAAACAGG